UGGCAUACCAGUCACCUGGAUGACCUCUCCUGAGACUUUCCCUACCACAUGUAGCAGGUUUAGACAUAUCUCUUCAAUUUGUCUGAAUGUUGAUCGUCAUCAGUGGUUGGUAAGUGACAUUGAUACCAUGUGCCUCAUAUACAUUGUUCACACACAUGAUGCAGAAACAAAAAUGGCAGUAUUACCUGAAUCUCCUCUGUUAUUUCGUUGGUGACUGUUUUGGCCGUGUCAUUCAGUAUGUGUUGCAGCAUUGCACCACUGGAGGGUGUCUUCACCAGAUCAUAAAGUGAAGGCAAUAGCUAGAGGUUGAACAAACUUAUUAGUGAUAUUUCACCAUUCUCAAAAUGUUGAAUCUAGACCUCUCAAAAACAUAGAUGAACAUUUCGUAUCAGUGGGACUCAAAGAUACCUUACCAUAAUGGAGGUUUUAGUAUUAUGAAGCACUUCCUCUGCAGCCAAUAUGUCUGACUGCACUUCCUGUAUAUUGCAGGGGGCUAAAGGUCGGACACUCUCCUGUAACCUCUGACACAGACCUUGAACCAGCUGAGAUGUGGGAUGAAGACAGACAGACACAGGGUAGGAAGAAAAUGAGAGAGCAUCCGAUUCAGAGAGCGAUAGAGAGAAGGCGCGAGAGAGAGAAGGUUGAUGGUGUGGAUGGCGGAGCAGGUGUGAUCUCGCAGGGCACAGGCCAUCUUCACUGCAAAAUCCCUACAAGAGCAAGGGCAAGGAGAGAGAAAGAGGAAUGGAAAAUAGUUAUUCCUGUGAACUAAAAUGAAUAAUGAAGUGUCAACCAAUCACAUAAAUCAAAUGUCAUCCAAAGAUUUCCCACUUCCUCUGUGCUUCUGGCACCAGGUAGACUGUUUUGGGAGAGAAGGAGGGAGGUAAGAGAGGGAGGGAGUAAGGGAUUUUUUAAUGAGGUGAAGGUGUAUCAGGUAGUAGACUACUCACAGUUUGAGCCCACAUCCCUCUAGACACACCUCCUCCAAAGUGGAGGAUCUGUUGAUCAUGAAGAGAACCUGCUCUUGGACCUCUGAGCUCUGCGGAUAGAUACAGAGGGGGAUUAUUAUAGCCAUCCCGCCUCCAUACACGGACAGGAAAUCUAAUCUCAAUGAGAAUCUCCAUAUGAUCUCCAUCUUCAGUGUCAGCCCUUUUCUCUGGUCGCAAACCACCUUAAAUACAUUUUCCUGUAGAAUAUAACUACAUCUGUGCAGUUCAAGACAGCUUCUCUCCCUUAUCAUGAAGGUCAUUUCGCCUGAACUCCAUCAUAGCCAUGUGAUUGCCUAAAGGCACUCCAGUAUCACUAACACAAAAGUAGCUAGAUUAUGAAGUCAUUAUCGUGCCCUGCCUCCAGGGCACAACAGUCUGUGUGUACAUGUGAUGACUGUUGAUAAGCCCUGCUAGGCCCUGCAGCCUAGACCAGGCUGCCAGUUAGGUCAGCCACAGGAUCCCAUCAUCAGCUCACACUGCCAACACGUACAGACAGUCAUGACAGGCCCAGAGAGAGCAGUACUCAGGGAUAGAGAGUGAUAACAUGAGACAGUGAGCUCUCCAACUGGACCUGGAGAAACAGACCAAGAUGUAGCUAAAAUGUUUACCAGUUUGAGGUCUUUGCUGGAGAUCUUGGUGAACCAUUGGUUGAAGGAAAGUGCAGCCACUGAUAAGGCCAAAUCUCUGUUUUCCAGAUGACUGAAAUCCAGGAGGUUGAAUUCCCGACAAUUCUGGACAUAGUAAAUGUUGUCCACAUCCUGACAGAAUAUAAAUCAUAAACACCUUUACUAAUAUUCUUGAUGUGUGACUACGUCAGUUGAUAUUAAUAGUAGAUAAUUUUUUCAAUCAGAAACAUUGAAUGUUGUGUCGUCAUAGGGGGAUGGUAACCUACUCACCCAUUGGACUUCCUCUCUGCAAGGUAAUUCAUUGAAGUCACAUAGAGCAGCAUACGUCUCUGAGAAGCCUCCUGUAGUGUAGAGAACCAAGGAAUGGCAGAGCGAUCAAAUACUGUACAAAUCCACGUCCACACACCUACACAAUGUCCACAUAGUACGAAAGACACAAGUGAGGGGACAAUGCUGCAGUGCUCAGAUUAAUUCUACUGACCACAUGGUCCCAGUGUUCCAGUCAGGUGCUCCUCCACCCGGGUUGCCAGGUUCCACAGCCGCUCCUGCAGGUCUGGAGGGAUCUUCUUCAGGACCUUCCUGAGGGCAGGAAAUCGACACACAUACAUGUCACACAUUUUAAUCGUCUUAAAAUGACAGAUAUUAACAUUAGGUAUCCACUUUAUCAUCGGCAUUGGAUUGAAAUAUGAUUCAGAAGUGACCUCUCUGAGUAAAAAAAGCUCCAUUCCUUGGAUAGAAGAGGAUAGAAGAGGAACCCUAAUCAGUUGGUUAAUGUGUAGAUGUUUCACCUCAGAGGUUUCUGCUAUAAGUAUAUCACAAGCAACUCUCACCAUGUUUGAGGGAGGAAAAUGUCCAUCUGCAUUGCCACGACACUCACCCUGGAGAUGAAUCAGGGAAGAUCUUCUUCAGAGAAGCUGUCACAUGACUGACCAUAGCCUCGAGGUCCUCAACAGACGUCAGACUGAGAGAGUAGGUCUGUCUGUCCGUCUCAAUCACCACCUGAAUGGUCAACACACACAGUACAAAGGUGUCUUUCUAUCGGUCUGUCAACACCAUUAAAUACAACCACCAUGCAGAGACACAGAUACACAUUCUGACAGAAACAUUGUCUAAAUGGUAUAGUGGUUAGUGGACACAUGAACUUGGAAACACAUUAACACUGUCUCUUUAAAAAAAUAUAUAUUUUACCUUUAUUUAACUAGGCAAGUCAGUUAAGAACAAAUUCUUAUUUUCAAUGACGGCCUAGGAACACUGGGUUAACUGCCUUGUUCAGGGGC
This 2889-nucleotide long non-coding RNA is filed under the name Oncorhynchus kisutch (coho salmon). Its description in RNAcentral is "lncRNA (ENSOKIG00005031314.1)". Lineage: Eukaryota; Metazoa; Chordata; Actinopteri; Salmoniformes; Salmonidae. The record is from RNAcentral.